GCGUAGCGGUGGGAGCUCAAAUCGUGCCGGCGCUCGGCUCGUCGAGGCGAUGAGCCCUUGGGGCGGCGGCCGUGCCGGCGGAACGCUGGGAAUAGCGAGACGCGGGGUGUAGCGAGACGCGCGGGAGGCAACGAGCGUGCGACGGAAAGCGAGCAAGGGAGCGGGAUGGCCUCGCCGCCGUCGUCGGCACGCGCGCCACGAAGCGCGCGAUACCCAUACAUGCGCACACGUCUCUCGUCGAAGCGUACGUGUGAGGAGCGAGAUUGGCGUACGCCGAGCGGUCGGUCGGUUGGUCGCUCUCGGAAAGCAUGGAACCGACACCCGAGCAACGAUGAUGAGAAGAAGGAGAAAGGGAGAAGGAAGGAGAACGCAGCGGAGACGUAACUGCGGGGCAGAAACGGCCGAGAAAGGCGAGAGGCUAUUUUGUCCCGCGGUGAAGACCCGCAAGAGCUCUUCGACGACGAGACGGACUAAGAAAAAGGAGGAAGCGGGAGGAGACGGCGAGCAAAGACGACGGUGGCGGGCGUGCCGAAGCGGAGAAAAGAGGGAAAGGUACUCCGAAGCUUUUUGCGAGCGCGCUGCGCCAUACCAUGCCGUGCCACGCCGCCGUCAUGCCGAGCCACGCCGUGUUCGUGCCGAACCACGCCGUGGUUAGAUCGACCGCCGUUGCGGAGUUAAGCCGAUGAGGCGCGCCCAGGCGGAACUGCCAAGGCCGCGGCGCACUCUUGGUGUGCGCGUGUGUGUGUCGCGCGGCGCGACGACACGCUCACGGGCGUGUCGUCGACAGCGGUGGUGCACGGUCUGCGAGGUGAUGGAGCGAAUUCACAACGAGCGGUGGCGAGACAUUACGCGGGCGCCGCGACGAGAGACGAGGCUCAUUAGCGCCACGAUCUUUCCAUUCUCUUCCCACUGCGUAUACUGUACUAUAAUAUACGAGCGAAACAAGGGAUGGAAAGUAAUAACGCAAAUAUAAAAGAAAAGGAAAGAAAAGGAAGAUGUACAAAAGACAAAGAAGAUAGAAAAGAUUUUGCUCGAUAGCUUCAGCAAAUUUUGAUCAUUCUUAAAGAAACAAAAAAAAGAGAGAGAAUUAAGUGCACACGAAAGAGCAAGAGAUGAGCGAGCGCGAGAAAUUCGAGACGCUCGGUGUCGAAAUGCUAUCCGGCAUACAAGAAAGGACAAUCCUCAUUAGCGAGAGCUUGCGGCACGGCGGCAGCGGCGUGGCUUGGUAUGGCAACGGUAUGAUGUACAGUGUGGCGUGGCACACACGUGCAGCACGCGCGAAUUCGAUACGCCGAAAGGAAUGCUGUAGAUAGAAUAGUUGAUACGGAUUAAGGAGGCCGCUGCGUCGUGUCGCCUUAAUCUUUUGAAA
Camponotus floridanus (Florida carpenter ant) is the source of this 1369-nucleotide long non-coding RNA. RefSeq lists it as uncharacterized. NCBI's taxonomy places the organism in Eukaryota, Metazoa, Arthropoda, Insecta, Hymenoptera, Formicidae. The record is from RefSeq and is a predicted model, not a curated record. The transcript has 3 exons.